GACGGAGGGUGCAAGCGUUGCUCGGAAUCACUGGGCGUAAAGGGUGCGUAGGCGGUCUCGCAAGUCUGGCGUGAAAGCCCAAGGCUCAGCCUUGGAAGUGCGCUCGAAACGGCGAGGCUGGAGUGCCGGAGGGGAGAGUGGAAUUCCUGGUGUAGCGGUGAAAUGCGCAGAUAUCAGGAAGAACACCUAUGGCGAAGGCAGCUCUCUGGGACGGUACUGACGCUGAGACGCGAAAGCGUGGGGAGCGAACAGG
RNAcentral lists this ribosomal RNA (253 nucleotides) under uncultured bacterium. RNAcentral describes it as "partial 16S ribosomal RNA". It matches the Rfam family "Bacterial small subunit ribosomal RNA", at positions 524 to 776 of the family's 1533-position model. The record is from RNAcentral.